ACGGAUGUGUGAUGGACUCCAUUG
Molecule: ribosomal RNA, 24 nt
Filed under: Craterellus excelsus
Lineage: Eukaryota; Fungi; Basidiomycota; Agaricomycetes; Cantharellales; Hydnaceae
Description: partial 25S ribosomal RNA
Source: RNAcentral